ACACAGGAUUGAUUUCCAAAGACUCAUGCUAUGUAAGGAAGCCACCAAGAAGGGCAAAGAAAAGGAGCCAGGGACGGCUCUUCCUCAGGGACACUAGACUUUCAGGGAUGUGGCUAUAGAUUUCUCUUUGGAGGAGUGGAAAUGCCUGAACCCUGCACAGAGGGCUUUAUACAGGGAAGUGAUGUUGGAGAACUACAGGAACCUGGAGUUUGUGGGCUUGAGUGCAAGCCACGAUCUCGCCUCACCACAACCU
Molecule: long non-coding RNA, 253 nt
Filed under: Homo sapiens (human)
Lineage: Eukaryota; Metazoa; Chordata; Mammalia; Primates; Hominidae
Description: HSALNT0398644
Source: RNAcentral